GACGAACGCUGGCGGCGUGCUUAACACAUGCAAGUCGAACGGAAAGGCCCUGCUUUCGUGGGGUGCUCGAGUGGCGAACGGGUGAGUAACACGUGAGUAACCUGCCCUUGACUUUGGGAUAACUUCAGGAAACUGGGGCUAAUACCGGAUAGGAGCUCCUGCUGCAUGGUGGGGGUUGGAAAGUUUCGGCGGUUGGGGAUGGACUCGCGGCUUAUCAGCUUGUUGGUGGGGUAGUGGCUUACCAAGGCUUUGACGGGUAGCCGGCCUGAGAGGGUGACCGGCCACAUUGGGACUGAGAUACGGCCCAGACUCCUACGGGAGGCAGCAGUGGGGAAUAUUGCACAAUGGGCGGAAGCCUGAUGCAGCAACGCCGCGUGCGGGAUGACGGCCUUCGGGUUGUAAACCGCUUUCGCCUGUGACGAAGCGUGAGUGACGGUAAUGGGUAAAGAAGCACCGGCUAACUACGU
This 467-nucleotide ribosomal RNA is filed under the name uncultured bacterium. RNAcentral describes it as "partial 16S ribosomal RNA". It matches the Rfam family "Bacterial small subunit ribosomal RNA", at positions 28 to 506 of the family's 1533-position model. The record is from RNAcentral.